This is a small nucleolar RNA of Gossypium raimondii (Peruvian cotton), 106 nucleotides long. It matches the Rfam family "Plant small nucleolar RNA R71". From Rfam's summary of the family: R71 is a member of the C/D box family of snoRNAs containing the C (UGAUGA) and D (CUGA) box motifs. Multiple nearly identical copies of this snoRNA have been identified in Arabidopsis, and it is thought to function as a 2'-O-ribose methylation guide for 18S ribosomal RNA. NCBI's taxonomy places the organism in Eukaryota, Viridiplantae, Streptophyta, Magnoliopsida, Malvales, Malvaceae. The record is from Rfam.
AUUUUGUGAUGAGAGCACUUCUGUAAUAAUUCUUUGUACCUUUCCCAUGCCUCAUACAAUUACUCAUCAUACAUUUUUCGGAAAGUAGUGAUCUCAUUCCUCAACU